This 1346-nucleotide long non-coding RNA is filed under the name Calidris pugnax (ruff). Its description in RNAcentral is "lncRNA (ENSCPUG00000005902.1)". Lineage: Eukaryota; Metazoa; Chordata; Aves; Charadriiformes; Scolopacidae. The record is from RNAcentral.
AAGCGAUUCGUCAACAACUGGGUGAACGGACAACCACAGGAGAAUAACCCACUGGGUAUGCAAACUGGUUGGGUUUUGGCUUUUUUUAAUGCUAAAAGAGGCGCUGUUUGAUUUUAUCUAUUCCUACAGCGGCCUGUCCUGUCGGAAACUCGCAGCUGCCCCCGGAGCAGCGGCUGCCCGGUCCCUGCGGGCCCCCCGCACCCCGAGCACCGCACGGACGCGGGGGGCUGAGGCAACACAGCGGGGACAAGCAGAGCGCAGGGAGAACGGCGCGAUCUCCGCACAGAGACCCGACGGGGAGGCCCCAAGCGGGGCCCGCUGAGGUGAGGCGAGCCCGGGAGAAGCUCUAGGGCAGACAGCACCUCGGCUUGAGGGAACGCGGGUCCCCCGGCAGGCCCCAGUAGCGGUGCGGUACGGCCCGGCGGAGCGCCUAGGCCGCGGGUGCGGCAGCGGUAGCCGAGCCCGCAGAAGCUUCCCAGAGGGAUCCCUCCCACCCGGGGACUGUCACCACCUCCGCCCGCCAGUUCGGAGGCGCAAGCUCCCGCCCCGGCCGCCCUCAGCCCCGGCCGGGCCGCCGACGCGGGGCUCCGGCUACUCACAGACGCCCAAGCCGGGUUCUUCCUUCCGUUCCCCCUCCCCCCCCUCCCACAGACCCGAAUAUGGCGUCACUGGCGGGGGGAAUCCGCUUCCCUUUCCGGGGCGCCGCCAUUUUCUCUGCCCGCCCCGCCUGUGGCGACCGGCCGUCCCCAGGGCGGGACCGUGGGCGCCGCCUCAGCCCGGCCCUGCGCCUGAGGGGGAGGAUGGGUCUCCUCCUGCCGCCGAGUCCGGCCUCUUGUGAGGACGAAGCUCCGGCGUUGAGGCAGAAUGUCAGGGCAAGCUGUUCUUUAAAGAUGGAAGUUACAAUGAGGGCAAAUUUGUCAAUGGAAAAACUAUGGGGAAUGGAUUUCAAUACUGGGUAUCAGAAUUCUGAGCAGAAAAAAGUCCAUCAAUUGAAGACCUGUACCAGUAAGUUGCUCCAGAAAGUAAUUUCUUUGGUUUCUGUACAGGGAACACUUAGUCCGGUCAGUUUCUGUUUGGAAAGCUCCAUGGACACAAAGUAUUGCAUUAGAAAGAUGGUGGGAAAUAUGAAGAACAGUUCUGUGGAUCAAGAGAAGGGGCAGUGGAGAAAUGACGUGGUCAAUGAACAGGGCGCUAUAGUUGAUUGUUCUGGUGACAUCUGUGAUGGACUGUGGAUCAAUGGCUGCCCUGCUGGUACGUACGUUCAUUAUGCUCUCCAGUUAUUAACAAGUCUUUGACAUAAUACUUUGGUUGUCCCUCUUUUGAUUAAUAUGAUCUGACUAUAGUGU